AGGAGAAAACAAAUUGGGCUGAAG
Molecule: non-coding RNA, 24 nt
Filed under: Arabidopsis thaliana (thale cress)
Lineage: Eukaryota; Viridiplantae; Streptophyta; Magnoliopsida; Brassicales; Brassicaceae
Source: RNAcentral